RNAcentral lists this ribosomal RNA (520 nucleotides) under Streptomyces cyaneus. Its description in RNAcentral is "bacterial SSU rRNA". It matches the Rfam family "Bacterial small subunit ribosomal RNA", at positions 346 to 876 of the family's 1533-position model. The record is from RNAcentral. Lineage: Bacteria; Bacillati; Actinomycetota; Actinomycetes; Kitasatosporales; Streptomycetaceae.
AGGCAGCAGUGGGGAAUAUUGCACAAUGGGCGAAAGCCUGAUGCAGCGACGCCGCGUGAGGGAUGACGGCCUUCGGGUUGUAAACCUCUUUCAGCAGGGAAGAAGCGAAAGUGACGGUACCUGCAGAAGAAGCGCCGGCUAACUACGUGCCAGCAGCCGCGGUAAUACGUAGGGCGCGAGCGUUGUCCGGAAUUAUUGGGCGUAAAGAGCUCGUAGGCGGCUUGUCGCGUCGGUUGUGAAAGCCCGGGGCUUAACCCCGGGUCUGCAGUCGAUACGGGCAGGCUAGAGUUCGGUAGGGGAGAUCGGAAUUCCUGGUGUAGCGGUGAAAUGCGCAGAUAUCAGGAGGAACACCGGUGGCGAAGGCGGAUCUCUGGGCCGAUACUGACGCUGAGGAGCGAAAGCGUGGGGAGCGAACAGGAUUAGAUACCCUGGUAGUCCACGCCGUAAACGGUGGGCACUAGGUGUGGGCGACAUUCCACGUCGUCCGUGCCGCAGCUAACGCAUUAAGUGCCCCGCCUGG